GUCAAACACAGGCGCCUCCUACCACAGGGAACUUUAGCCCCAGCCCUGAGACCAGAUCAGACAGAGGACGACACAGGAAGGUGUGCAGCCUGGUGGUAAGGCAGCUGUGUCAGGAGGUUUUGAGGGAGACAGAACAGCCUAGCCUGCUCCUGCCCUGUGAGCUGGGGGAGCUGAGAACGGAUGUGAAUGGCAAAAGUCACUGGUCAGUAGACUCUCGGAAGCUCUGCCUGUUGACAUCCUAUCAGUAAUAAUGGAGGGUACCACUCUCGCCUGGAGGAUCUCCGUCACUGACAAUGAG
Molecule: long non-coding RNA, 298 nt
Organism: Balaenoptera acutorostrata (minke whale)
Lineage: Eukaryota; Metazoa; Chordata; Mammalia; Artiodactyla; Balaenopteridae
Exons: 3
Source: RefSeq, a predicted model, not a curated record